This 183-nucleotide unclassified non-coding RNA is filed under the name Glomus sp. Its description in RNAcentral is "partial contains 5.8S ribosomal RNA and internal transcribed spacer 2". The stretch from base 1 to 65 matches the Rfam family "5.8S ribosomal RNA", at positions 84 to 154 of the family's 154-position model. Lineage: Eukaryota; Fungi; Glomeromycota; Glomeromycetes; Glomerales; Glomeraceae. The record is from RNAcentral.
GUGAAUCAUCAAAUCUUUGAACGCAAAUUGCACUCUCUUCGGAGAGUAUGCCUGUUUGAGGGUCAGCCUAAAAAAAAUGGACUUAUUGGUGUUUACCCGUUACCAUUGUUGGGAAUUUGGUUCAUUUUAAACCUUGGGUUUUAGGCGCCUUAAAUUUUCUUUAAGAUUUCAAAGAAGGUUUCU